CGCUGGCGGCGUGCCUAAUGCAUGCAAGUCGAGCGGGCUACGAUCUUCGGAUUGUAGCUUAGCGGCGAACGGGUGAGUAACACGUAGGUAAUCUACCCUUCAGAGGAGGACAACCUCAGGAAACUGAGGCUAAACCUUCAUACGUUCACUGGUAGGGAUACUGGUGAAGAAAGAGUUACCUUAGUGGUAGCUGCUGAAGGAUGAGCCUGCGGCCCAUCAGGUAGUUGGUGAGGUAACGGCUCACCAAGCCGAAGACGGGUAACCGGUCUGAGAGGAUGUCCGGUCACACUGGGACUGAGACACGGCCCAGA
Molecule: ribosomal RNA, 311 nt
Filed under: uncultured bacterium
Lineage: Bacteria
Description: bacterial SSU rRNA
Rfam family: Bacterial small subunit ribosomal RNA
Source: RNAcentral